This 253-nucleotide ribosomal RNA is filed under the name uncultured bacterium. RNAcentral's name for it is "partial 16S ribosomal RNA". It matches the Rfam family "Bacterial small subunit ribosomal RNA", at positions 524 to 776 of the family's 1533-position model. The record is from RNAcentral.
UACGAAGGGGGCUAGCGUUGCUCGGAAUUACUGGGCGUAAAGGGCGCGUAGGCGGCACUGUUAGUCAGGCGUGAAAGUCCUGGGCUCAACCUGGGAACUGCGCUUGAUACGGCAGAGCUAGAGGAUGGAAGAGGGUCGUGGAAUUCCCGGUGUAGCGGUGAAAUGCGCAGAUAUCGGGAGGAACACCAAUGGCGAAGGCAGCUUGCUGGGACGGUACUGACGCUGAGACGCGAAAGCGUGGGGAGCAAACAGG